AUGGUGUUCUUUGAUGAUAUCAUUGUGUUCAGCUCUUCCUUCAUGCAACAUCUACAACAUCUGCGGGAGGUGUUGGCUCUCUUGAGGAAAGAUCAGUGGUACAUCAAGCAUUCUAAGUGUGAAUUUGCGUGCAAAGAACUAAACUACCUGGGCCACACCAUUUCAGAGGAGGGGGUUUCUACAGACAGCGUCAAAAUUCAACAAGUGGCAACAUGGCCUGUUCCCACAUCAGUAAAAGAGGUGCGCUCAUUCUUGGGGCUUGCAAGAUAUUACAUGCAUUUUGUUCGCCAUUUUGGUACCAUUGCUCGACCCUUGACUCAGUUGUUACGCAAGAACACACCCUUUCAAUGGACUGCAGCUAUGGAGAGGCAUUCGAUGCGCUGA
Molecule: ribosomal RNA, 384 nt
Filed under: Triticum aestivum (bread wheat)
Lineage: Eukaryota; Viridiplantae; Streptophyta; Magnoliopsida; Poales; Poaceae
Description: partial small subunit ribosomal RNA
Source: RNAcentral